RNAcentral lists this ribosomal RNA (497 nucleotides) under uncultured bacterium. RNAcentral's name for it is "partial 16S ribosomal RNA". It matches the Rfam family "Bacterial small subunit ribosomal RNA", at positions 28 to 507 of the family's 1533-position model. The record is from RNAcentral.
GAUGAACGCUGGCGGCGUGCCUAAUACAUGCAAGUCGAGCGAACAGACGAGGAGCUUGCUCCUCUGACGUUAGCGGCGGACGGGUGAGUAACACGUGGAUAACCUACCUAUAAGACUGGGAUAACUUCGGGAAACCGGAGCUAAUACCGGAUAAUAUAUUGAACCGCAUGGUUCAAUAGUGAAAGACGGUUUUGCUGUCACUUAUAGAUGGAUCCGCGCCGCAUUAGCUAGUUGGUAAGGUAACGGCUUACCAAGGCAACGAUGCGUAGCCGACCUGAGAGGGUGACCGCCCACCCUGGAACUGACACCGGCCCCAGCCUCCUGCGGGGGGAACCAGUGGGGAAUCUCCCGCAGUGGGCGAAAGCCUGACGGGCCACCCCCGGGUGAGUAAUGAGGGUUUUCGUAUCAAAAAACUCUGUUAUUAGGAAAAAACAAUUGUGUAAGUAACUAUGCGCGUCUUGACGUUCCCUAACAAGAAAGCCAGGGCAAACUACGUC